UGUUUGAGUUCCUGUCCUGACUUCCUUCAGUGAUGAACAGAAAUGCUGAAGUUGUAUUCACAGGCGUCCUUAAAACUGGAAGAGAGAUGUGAAAAUAGUCAAGGAAAUCCAGAGUGAGAAUCAUUUAACUUGCUUUGAAUCAAUUGGCUUUGGAGAUGGAGAAAGGAGCCACAAGCCAAGGACCACGGUGAUGCCCAGAAUCAGUACAAGGCAAGGAAAUGGAUUCCCUGCAAGCAGAAUACCUGAAUCUGGGAAACUUGUAAAGACAAGAGGUUUAUUAUGGCCAGUGAUUCUGGAGGCUAGAAGUUCGACCUUGAGUGGGAUAUCUGUUAAACAUCUUGUGAGAUAUUCAUGCUUCAUCAACUCAGGAAGAGAAGAGGGAUAACAGGAUUUCAAGACAGGGACAUGGAAUCUGCAGCCUAGGAGUGCUUAGAAGAGUUCUGGGGAGGUGGUGUCUGGGCUGUUUCAAAUAAUGUGCAUGCAUCAGUCAGAUGAAGAAGAAUGGUGUUAGAACAAGGAGGACAAUACGCACAGAGGAAAACAAGGGAGUGGCAAACGACAGCCUUGCCUGCAUGUAGGCUGGGAAUGUAUGAGGUGGGGCAGGAGCUGGGGAGAUGAUGGGCCCUGACUGCUAUGCUGACAUCCCAGGGUUACUUUUAGCAUAAGAUUAGGGUUUGGCAAAGUUCCAUCUCCAUUGUCUUUGCAUCAUAACCAUCUGCAGCGACAGACAGAAAUCUGCAUUCAAGCUUUAGAAGAAGGCACCAGAAACCUGCAUUUUAAAUAAGCUCUCGGGGGAUUCUGCUGUUUCCUGACGUUGAGGACUACUACAGAAGGAGACAAGAGUCAUAGAAGAGUUUCAAGUGGCUGAAUCUGUGCUUCAGACAAUUCUCCCCGCAGUGGAACAUAGGGUAGAAAAGAUAAAGGCAGGAGACCACUUGGGAGGCUCUUGAAAUAAUACUGGUGGGUGGCUGAGGACAAUGUGACCACGGAAGAAUGAGGCAGGAUGCAGAGAUGCUGCUAUGGCCUCGGUAGCAGCAGUCUGUGAGUGAACAUUGAGACGGCUGUCUGAGAACCGGCUAGCAGGAUGCCUGCAUACCCAGUGCACAUGUACUAUGCACACAUACUCAUGCAGAGAGCAAAAGAUACUGCUGUCAGUUGUAAAAGGAAAGCUGUUCAAGUUUUCAAUUUUUAUGAAGAAGGCAAGAGAAUUUUAAAGACACUGGGUCUUUUUUUUUUUUUUUUGGACUGGGUGAUGGGGUCUUAUGUUACCAGGCUAGCCUUGUAUGUAGUUGAAGAUGACUUUGAACUUCUGAUCCUCCUGCCUGUACUUUCCUAGCUGGGAUUUCAGAUGUGUGGGCCACACCUGGUUUUUAUGUGAUAUUGGGGAUCAAACCUGGGGCUUUGAACAUUUUAGGCAAGUGCUUUACUGAGUCAUGAUUUUAGACCACACUGCGCAAUUAAAAAAAAUUUAAGGAA
This is a long non-coding RNA of Mesocricetus auratus (golden hamster), 1476 nucleotides long. RefSeq lists it as uncharacterized. The transcript is spliced from 4 exons. Lineage: Eukaryota; Metazoa; Chordata; Mammalia; Rodentia; Cricetidae. The record is from RefSeq and is a predicted model, not a curated record.